RNAcentral lists this ribosomal RNA (433 nucleotides) under uncultured bacterium. Its description in RNAcentral is "partial 16S ribosomal RNA". It matches the Rfam family "Bacterial small subunit ribosomal RNA", at positions 29 to 507 of the family's 1533-position model. The record is from RNAcentral.
AGCGAACGCUGGCGGCAGGCCUAACACAUGCAAGUCGAACGAACUCUUCGGAGUUAGUGGCGGACGGGUGAGUAACACGUGGGAACGUGCCUUUUGGUUCGGAAUAACUCAGGGAAACUUGUGCUAAUACCGAAUGUGCCCUUCGGGGGAAAGAUUUAUUGCCAUUAGAGCGGCCCGCGUCGGAUUAGCUAGUUGGUGAGGUAACGGCUCACCAAGGCGACGAUCAGUAACUGGUCUGAGAGGAUGACCCGCCACACUGGGACUGAGACACGGCCCAGACUCCUACGGGAGGCAGCAGUGGGGAAUCUUGCGCAAUGGGCGAAAGCAUGAAGCAGCCAUGCCGCGUGAAUGAUGAAGGUCUUAGGAUUGUAAAAUUCUUUCACCGGGGACGAUAAUGACGGUACCCGGAGAAGAAGCCCCGGCUAACUUCGUG